This 376-nucleotide ribosomal RNA is filed under the name uncultured bacterium. Its description in RNAcentral is "bacterial SSU rRNA". It matches the Rfam family "Bacterial small subunit ribosomal RNA", at positions 359 to 758 of the family's 1533-position model. The record is from RNAcentral.
CACCUGGCAUGGGCGCAAGCCUGACCGCAAUGCCGCGUGAGUGAUGAAGGCCUUCGGGUCGUAAAGCUCUUUUACCAGGGAUGAUAAUGACAGUACCUGGAGAAUAAGCUCCGGCUAACUCCGUGCCAGCAGCCGCGGUAAUACGGAGGGAGCUAGCGUUGUUCGGAAUUACUGGGCGUAAAGCGCGCGUAGGCGGCGACACAAGUCAGAGGUGAAAGCCCGGGGCUCAACCCCGGAACUGCCUUUGAAACUAGGUUGCUAGAAUCUUGGAGAGGUCAGUGGAAUUCCGAGUGUAGAGGUGAAAUUCGUAGAUAUUCGGAAGAACACCAGUGGCGAAGGCGACUGACUGGACAAGUAUUGACGCUGAGGUGCGAAA